GACCCGUGAUCCGGGUUGCGGACAGUGUCUGGUGGGUAGUUUGACUGGGGCGGUCUCCUCCUAAAGAGUAACGGAGGAGCACGAAGGUUGGCUAAUCCUGGUCGGACAUCAGGAGGUUAGUGCAAUGGCAUAAGCCAGCUUGACUGCGAGCGUGACGGCGCGAGCAGGUGCGAAAGCAGGUCAUAGUGAUCCGGUGGUUCUGAAUGGAAGGGCCAUCGCUCAACGGAUAAAAGGUACUCCGGGGAUAACAGGCUGAUACCGCCCAAGAGUUCAUAUCGACGGCGGUGUUUGGCACCUCGAUGUCGGCUCAUCACAUCCUGGGGCUGAAGUAGGUCCCAAGGGUAUGGCUGUUCGCCAUUUAAAGUGGUACGCGAGCUGGGUUUAGAACGUCGUGAGACAGUUCGGUCCCUAUCUGCCGUGGGCGCUGGAGAACUGAGGGGGGCUGCUCCUAGUACGAGAGGACCGGAGUGGACGCAUCACUGGUGUUCGGGUUGUCAUGCCAAUGGCACUGCCCGGUAGCUAAAUGCGGAAGAGAUAAGUGCUGAAAGCAUCUAAGCACGAAACUUGCCCCGAGAUGAGUUCUCCCUGACUCCUUGAGAGUCCUGAAGGAACGUUGAAGACGACGACGUUGAUAGGCCGGGUGUGUAAGCGCAGCGAUGCGUUGAGCUAACCGGUACUAAUGAACCGUGAGGCUUAACCUU
Molecule: ribosomal RNA, 701 nt
Filed under: Escherichia coli
Lineage: Bacteria; Pseudomonadati; Pseudomonadota; Gammaproteobacteria; Enterobacterales; Enterobacteriaceae
Description: partial 23S ribosomal RNA
Rfam family: Bacterial large subunit ribosomal RNA
Source: RNAcentral